UGGCGAACGGGUGAGUAACGCGUGAGGAACCUGCCUCAAAGAGGGGGACAACAGUUGGAAACGACUGCUAAUACCGCAUAAGCCCACGGGUCGGCAUCGACCAGAGGGAAAAGGAGCAAUCCGCUUUGAGAUGGUCUCGCGUCCGAUUAGCUAGUUGGUGAGGUAAUGGCCCACCAAGGCGACGAUCGGUAGCCGGACUGAGAGGUUGAACGGCCACAUUGGGACUGAGACACGGUCCAAACUCCUACGGGAGGCAGCAUG
This 261-nucleotide ribosomal RNA is filed under the name uncultured bacterium. RNAcentral's name for it is "partial 16S ribosomal RNA". It matches the Rfam family "Bacterial small subunit ribosomal RNA", at positions 96 to 353 of the family's 1533-position model. The record is from RNAcentral.